AACGAACGCUGGCGGCAGGCUUAACACAUGCAAGUCGAGCGAGACCUUCGGGUCUAGCGGCGGACGGGUGAGUAACGCGUGGGAACGUGCCCUUCUCUACGGAAUAGCCCCGGGAAACUGGGAGUAAUACCGUAUACGCCCUUUGGGGGAAAGAUUUAUCGGAGAAGGAUCGGCCCGCGUUGGAUUAGGUAGUUGGUGGGUAAUGGCCCACCAAGCCGACGAUCCAUAGCUGGUUUGAGAGGAUGCUCAGCCACACUGGGACUGAGACACGGCCCAGACUCCUACGGGAGGCAGCAGUGGGGAAUCUUAGACAAUGGGGGCAACCCUGAUCUAGCCAUGCCGCGUGAGUGAUGAAGGCCUUAGGGUUGUAAAGCUCUUUCAGCUGGGAAGAUAAUGACGGUACCAGCAGAAGAAGCCCCGGCUAACUCCGUG
RNAcentral lists this ribosomal RNA (432 nucleotides) under uncultured bacterium. RNAcentral's name for it is "partial 16S ribosomal RNA". It matches the Rfam family "Bacterial small subunit ribosomal RNA", at positions 29 to 507 of the family's 1533-position model. The record is from RNAcentral.